AGGACGAACGCUGGCGGCGUGCUUAACACAUGCAAGUCGAGCGGUAAGGCCUUUCGGGGUACACGAGCGGCGAACGGGUGAGUAACACGUGGGUGAUCUGCCCUGCACUCUGGGAUAAGCCUGGGAAACUGGGUCUAAUACCGGAUAUGACCUGCUCUCGCAUGGGGGUGGGUGGAAAGAUUUAUCGGCGCAGGAUGGGCCCGCGGCCUAUCAGCUUGUUGGUGGGGUAAUGGCCUACCAAGGCGACGACGGGUAGCCGACCUGAGAGAGUGACCGGCCACACUGGGACUGAGACACGGCCCAGACUCCUACGGGAGGCAGCAGUGGGGAAUAUUGCACAAUGGGCGAAAGCCUGAUGCAGCGACGCCGCGUGAGGGAUGAAGGCCUUCGGGUUGUAAACCUCUUUCAGCAGGACGAAGCGCAAGUGACGGUACCUGCAGAAGGAGCACCGGCUAACUACGUGCCAGCAGCCGC
This 474-nucleotide ribosomal RNA is filed under the name uncultured soil bacterium. RNAcentral's name for it is "bacterial SSU rRNA". It matches the Rfam family "Bacterial small subunit ribosomal RNA", at positions 26 to 518 of the family's 1533-position model. The record is from RNAcentral.